This 523-nucleotide ribosomal RNA is filed under the name uncultured bacterium. RNAcentral describes it as "bacterial SSU rRNA". It matches the Rfam family "Bacterial small subunit ribosomal RNA", at positions 791 to 1321 of the family's 1533-position model. The record is from RNAcentral.
UAGUCCACGCCCUAAACGAUGCUUACUCGAUGUAUGUUUAAUUAUGUGCAUCCAAGGGAAACCGUUAAGUAAGCCACCUGGGGAGUACGUUCGCAAGAAUGAAACUCAAAGGAAUUGACGGGGGUCCGCACAAGCGGUGGAGUAUGUGGUUUAAUUCGAUGAUACGCGAGGAACCUUACCUAGGCUCUAAUGCGACUGCUAUCCGGUGAAAGCUGGAGUUCCUUCGGGACAGGAAGCAAGGUGCUGCAUGGUUGUCGUCAGCUCGUGCCGUGAGGUGUUGGGUUAGGUCCCGCAACGAGCGCAACCCCUAUCACUAGUUGCCAACAGGUAAAGCUGGGGGACUCUAGUGAAACUGCCUACGCAAGUAGCGAGGAAGGCGGGGACGACGUCAAAUCAUCAUGGCCUUUAUGCCUAGGGCUACACACGUACUACAAUGGUGGGGACAAGGGUAGCAAACCUGCGAGGGUAAGCCAAUCCCAAAACCUCAUCCCAGUUCGGAUUGGAGUCUGCAACUCGACUCCAU